RNAcentral lists this ribosomal RNA (460 nucleotides) under uncultured bacterium. RNAcentral describes it as "partial 16S ribosomal RNA". It matches the Rfam family "Bacterial small subunit ribosomal RNA", at positions 338 to 795 of the family's 1533-position model. The record is from RNAcentral.
CCUACGGGAGGCAGCAGUGAGGAAUAUUGGUCAAUGGACGCAAGUCUGAACCAGCCAUGCCGCGUGCAGGAUGACGGCCCUAUGAGUUGUAAACUGCUUUUGUACGGGAGUAAACGCCGAUACGUGUAGCGGGUUGAAAGUAUCGUACGAAUAAAGCACGGCUAACUCCGUGCCAGCAGCCGCGGUAAUACGGAGGAUCCGAGCGUUAUCCGGAUUUCGUGGGGUUAAAGGGUGCGUAGGCGGUUUGAUAAGUUAGAGGUGAAAUGUCGGGGCUCAACCCCGAAACUGCCGUUAAGACGGGUGGACUAGAGAAUAGUUGCGGUAGGCGGAAUGUAUGGUGUAGCGGUGAAAUGCUUAGAUAUCAUACAGAACACCGAUUGCGAAGGCAGCUUACCAAACUACAUCUGACGUUGAGGCACGAAAGCGUGGGGAGCAAACAGGAUUAGAUACCCCAGUAGUC